Molecule: ribosomal RNA, 466 nt
Filed under: uncultured bacterium
Lineage: Bacteria
Description: bacterial SSU rRNA
Rfam family: Bacterial small subunit ribosomal RNA
Source: RNAcentral
CCCAGACUCCUACGGGAGGCAGCAGUGAGGAAUAUUGGUCAAUGGGCUUACGCCUGAACCAGCCAAGUCGCGUGAGGGAAGACUGCCCUAUGGGUUGUAAACCUCUUUUGUCGGGGAGCAAAGAGAGUCACGUGUGACUCAUUGAGAGUACCCGAAGAAAAAGCAUCGGCUAACUCCGUGCCAGCAGCCGCGGUAAUACGGAGGAUGCGAGCGUUAUCCGGAUUUAUUGGGUUUAAAGGGUGCGCAGGCGGAGGUGCAAGUCAGCGGUCAAAUUGCGGGGCUCAACCUCGUCGAGCCGUUGAAACUGGGUGCCUUGAGUGGGCGAGAAGUACGCGGAAUGCGUGGUGUAGCGGUGAAAUGCAUAGAUAUCACGCAGAACUCCGAUUGCGAAGGCAGCGUACCGGCGCCCAACUGACGCUGAAGCACGAAGGCGUGGGUAUCGAACAGGAUUAGAUACCCCUGUAAA